UACGUUCUCGAGCCUUGCACACACCGCCCGUCAAGUUGGCCGAGUCGGUAACACCAGAAGCGUCGGGAUUGCCCGGCACCAAGGUGGGAUCGGUAAGGAAAGCU
RNAcentral lists this ribosomal RNA (104 nucleotides) under uncultured bacterium. RNAcentral's name for it is "partial 16S ribosomal RNA". The record is from RNAcentral.